CUCUGUAGUUCAGUCGGUAGAACGGCGGACUGUUAAUCCGUAUGUCACUGGUUCCUGAAAAGCCCGCUUUUAUAGCGG
This 78-nucleotide transfer RNA is filed under the name Escherichia coli. RNAcentral describes it as "tRNA-Asn". Lineage: Bacteria; Pseudomonadati; Pseudomonadota; Gammaproteobacteria; Enterobacterales; Enterobacteriaceae. The record is from RNAcentral.